Molecule: ribosomal RNA, 1440 nt
Filed under: Triticum aestivum (bread wheat)
Lineage: Eukaryota; Viridiplantae; Streptophyta; Magnoliopsida; Poales; Poaceae
Description: partial small subunit ribosomal RNA
Source: RNAcentral
AUGAAUGAAAGUCUUUCCAUCAUAAACUGGAACGUCUGUGGCCUAAAUUGUCCCAACCAUCGCACAACAGUUCAUGAGACUAUUGCUGCUACUACCUGUAACCUUGUUUGUCUAUAGGAAACCAAAUUGGCUGCUAUUGACCCUCUCUUGGCUGCUUUUUUGGGUGGCCAAAGACUAAAAAGCUUUGCUGAUAGGCCUGCUGAUGGCACCAAGGGAGGAAUUCUCCUUCUCUGGAAUGAAGACUUCCUUAAAGUGGAUAACAUUUCAACGGGUACCUUCAACAUCUCUGCAACCAUCACUAUUGUCAACACUCUCACUUCCUUCAAGCUCACUUCGGUGUAUGGCCCUACUAGAGGCAACCUGAAAGAUGCUUUCUUCCAAGAGCUUGUGAGCCUCAAGCCCCAGUUGGGUACCAAGUGGCUUGUUACGGGAUAUUUCAAUCAAAUAUACCGCGCUCGCGACAAAAACCAUGAAAACAUUGAUCGCUCUCGCCUCGUGCACUUCCGAAACUCACUCAACACCUGUGAGCUGAAAGAAAUUCACCUCCAGAACAGAAGGUUCACCUGGAGCAACGAGCAGACUAACCCGACCUUAAGCAAGUUGGAUUCUUUUUUCUGCAAUGAGGACUGGGACGUUGACUUCGACACUCACAUCCUUCAUGCCAUAUCGUCCUCACUCUUGGAUCACUGCCCACUCCUUCUGGCUAGCGACAGGGGGCCAUGGCGACCAAAAACCUUCCGUUUUGAAUUUUUUUUGACCAAAAUGCCAAACUUCAAGAAGACGGUACAUGAUGCUUGGAAGGAGGACACUAGUCAUUCUGAGCCCUUUUAGGUGCUCUUUCACAAGCUUAAAAGAACAAGUCAGCGCCUUAGGAAAUGGAGCAAGACAAUCUUCUCGAAUCACAAAAUCCAACUCCACAUGGCCCUUGAGAUCAUCCUUCGCCCCGAUGUGGCGCAAGAAUGGAGGACGCUUAGCCUGGCUGAAUGGAACCUGAGGAAGGACCUCAAGAGAAAGGUUGUCGCCCUGGCUAUCCUCGAGCGGGCGAGGAAAAGGCAAAGUUCAAGAAUUAACUUGCUCAAAGAGGGGGACACAAAUACACAUUUCUUUCAUCUCCGUACCAACCAUCACCGAAGGAAGAACUUCAUCCACCGUCUCAAGCACAAUAAUGGAUGGGUCACGAACCAUGAUCACAAAAAGGAUAUUAUCCAGCACCACUUUGCAAAAGCCAUUGGGAAGGGCCCCCCAUGCUCCAAGGACUUCAAUUGGGGUUGCAUCUCACCGUCGAAUUCUAAUGUUUCAGAGUUGGGUGCCUUGUUCACUAAGGAGGAGGGUUGUGCUGCGAUCAACGAACUACCAGGAGACAAAGCCCCGGGCCCGGACGGAUUCACAGGACUUUUGUUCAAAGAAUGUUGGGAUAUCAUAAAGCCAGAGAUUAUGUGA